GAGACCCACGCCAACAGUUGCCAGCAUGUCCUCCGGGAUGAUGGGGACACUGUUGGGACCGCCUCUGCUAAGAGGAGGAAGGAAUGGGCAACGGUAGGUCAGCAUGCCCCGAAUUACCCGGGCUACACGCGGGCUACAAUGGGCAGGACAAUGGGUAUCGACACCGAAAGGUGAAGGCAAUCCCCUAAACCUGUCCCUGGUUCGGAUUGUGGGCUGCAACUCGCCCACAUGAAGGUGGAAUCCGUAGUAAUCGCGUCUCAAAAUGGCGCGGUGAAUAU
Molecule: ribosomal RNA, 278 nt
Filed under: uncultured archaeon
Lineage: Archaea
Description: partial 16S rRNA
Rfam family: Archaeal small subunit ribosomal RNA
Source: RNAcentral